AAUCACACAGGGCAGCCAUGUACGCAGGAAGCUGUUUCUGGAAAGCAGAGAAGGAAAGAGCCUUUGACCCACGCACAUUAAUCCAAGGGCCAAAGAAAAUCAAGCACUUUGCUUCAAGCAAAACUGAGAUCUCCAUGCAGAAAGAGACAGGUCUGGGUUUGAAUCCUGGCUCCACCACUCAACAGCCAUGCACCUGGACCAAGGAGCUCAGCGGAGUGGUCACUCUCGGGAUGUCUGCAGCCAUCAUCCACAGUCCUGGGGCAAUCACUUAGGC
This 274-nucleotide long non-coding RNA is filed under the name Homo sapiens (human). Its description in RNAcentral is "HSALNT0382729". The record is from RNAcentral. Lineage: Eukaryota; Metazoa; Chordata; Mammalia; Primates; Hominidae.